AAAUAAGAGGGCUGCCAAUAUGGACCCCAAAUGGGUUUGUCCGCGGGUUCCAUGGUGGCCCCACAUGGGUUUGCCCAGGUAAUUUAAAUGGGUGCUGACUGGGUUUUGAGUGGGGCCCAGAUGCCUCAUUCCAGUAGGAACAAUGGGGUCUUUCUCACCUAACCUGAAAGUGAAUUACAUUAAUAGAUAUACAAUCUUAAUCAACAAACCAUAUUAAAAUGCUUUAGCAUAAAACCUGCA
Long non-coding RNA from Poecilia latipinna (sailfin molly), 240 nucleotides. RefSeq lists it as uncharacterized. NCBI's taxonomy places the organism in Eukaryota, Metazoa, Chordata, Actinopteri, Cyprinodontiformes, Poeciliidae. The record is from RefSeq and is a predicted model, not a curated record. The transcript is spliced from 2 exons.